RNAcentral lists this ribosomal RNA (500 nucleotides) under uncultured bacterium. Its description in RNAcentral is "partial 16S ribosomal RNA". It matches the Rfam family "Bacterial small subunit ribosomal RNA", at positions 30 to 523 of the family's 1533-position model. The record is from RNAcentral.
AUUGAACGCUGGCGGAAUGCUUUACACAUGCAAGUCGAACGGCAGCACGGACUUCGGUCUGGUGGCGAGUGGCGAACGGGUGAGUAAUGUAUCGGAACGUGCCCAGUCGUGGGGGAUAACGUAGUGAAAAUUACGCUAAUACCGCAUACGAUCUAUGGAUGAAAGCGGGGGAUCGCAAGACCUCGCGCGAUUGGAGCGGCCGAUAUCAGAUUAGGUAGUUGGUAGGGUAAAGGCCCACCAAGCCAACGAUCUGUAGCUGGUCUGAGAGGACGACCAGCCACACUGGAACUGAGACACGGUCCAGACUCCUACGGGAGGCAGCAGUGGGGAAUUUUGGACAAUGGGCGAAAGCCUGAUCCAGCCAUUCCGCGUGCAGGAUGAAGGCCCUCGGGUUGUAAACUGCUUUUGUACAGAACGAAAAGGUUUCUACUAAUACUAGGAGCUCAUGACGGUGCUGUAGGAAUAAGCACCGGCUAACUACGUGCCAGCCGCCGCCGUAA